CCUACGGGAGGCAGCAGUGGGGGAUAUUGGACAAUGGGGGGAAGCCUGAUCCAGCGACGCCGCGUGAGGGAGGAAGUAUUUCGGGAUGUAAAGCUCUGUCAGCAGGGAAGAAAGAAAUGACGGUACCUGACCAAGAAGCUACGGGUAACUACGGGCCAGCAGCCGCGGGAAUACGUAGGGGGCAAGCGUGAUACGGAAUGACUGGGGGGAAAGGGAGCGGCGACGGUAUAGUAAGCUCGGGGUGAAAGGCCGGGGCCUAACCCCGGGCCUGCCUUGGAAACUGUUUAACUUGAGUGUAGGAGAGGUAUGCGGAAUGCCUGGUGUAGCGGUGAAAUGCGUAGAUAUUAGGCAGAACCCCAGUGGCGAAGGCGGCUUACUGGACUGUAACUGACGUUGAGGCUCGAAAGCGUGGGGAGCAAACAGGAUUAGAUACCCCUGUAGUC
Molecule: ribosomal RNA, 443 nt
Filed under: uncultured bacterium
Lineage: Bacteria
Description: partial 16S ribosomal RNA
Rfam family: Bacterial small subunit ribosomal RNA
Source: RNAcentral